Molecule: ribosomal RNA, 456 nt
Filed under: uncultured archaeon
Lineage: Archaea
Description: bacterial SSU rRNA
Rfam family: Archaeal small subunit ribosomal RNA
Source: RNAcentral
AUCGUGAUAAGGGAACCCCGAGUGCCCGUAAAUUCGGGCUGUCCGCCAGUGUAAAUAACUGGUGAAGAAAGGGCCGGGCAAGACCGGUGCCAGCCGCCGCGGUAAUACCGGCGGCUCGAGUGGUGGCCACUAUUACUGGGCUUAAAGCGUCCGUAGCUGGAUUGUUAAGUCUCUUGGGAAAUCCACCGGCUCAACCGAUGGGCGUUCAGGAGAAACUGGCAAUCUAGGGACCGGGAGAGGUGAGAGGUACUCCAGGGGUAGGAGUGAAAUCCUGUAAUCCUUGGGGGACCACCUGUGGCGAAGGCGUCUCACUAGAACGGCUCCGACAGUGAGGGACGAAAGCUGGGGGAGCAAACCGGAUUAGAUACCCGGGUAGUCCCAGCUGUAAACGAUGCGCGUUAGGUGUAUCGGUGACCACGAGUCAUCGAGGUGCCGAAGGGAAACCGUGAAACGUGC